Molecule: transfer RNA, 72 nt
Filed under: Neotoma lepida (desert woodrat)
Lineage: Eukaryota; Metazoa; Chordata; Mammalia; Rodentia; Cricetidae
Rfam family: tRNA
About the family: Transfer RNA (tRNA) molecules are approximately 80 nucleotides in length.
Source: Rfam by way of RNAcentral
UGAGAUAUAGCUCAGUGUUAGAGUACUCGCCUAGUGUGUGUGAGAGCCUAGGUUCAAUCCACAGUACCACAA